This 720-nucleotide long non-coding RNA is filed under the name Neogobius melanostomus (round goby). Its description in RNAcentral is "lncRNA (ENSNMLG00000001405.1)". The record is from RNAcentral. Lineage: Eukaryota; Metazoa; Chordata; Actinopteri; Gobiiformes; Gobiidae.
CGCCAAACCCCCAAUAACGCGCUCCACCUGCAUGACAAAUGAGAAAACUUUUGCUGGAGGUAUUUCACAUUUAAAAUGAUCACGAUUGAUUGAAUUCGUUGUUUCAAAGUGGUCUAAAUAAACAGACAUUAAUGAGUAACACUUGUAUCGUGCUACUAGUUUUCACAACACUUUUACAACACGAUAAAUGAUGAAUUAAUCACCGAUCAAAUAUAUGAAAUGAGCUAACCGCUAGCAUCGACAGAAGCAGAAAUGGCCACGAAUAAAGCAGUGGUUGAAGGUGCAACGCUGGAGCCAGUGGAAGCUGAUCCUAAUGUGAAGACGAAAGUUGUCCAGGUUUCAGCACCUGCUCCUGCCCCGGUCCUGAAGCCCAGCUCAGUCCAGAUUCAUCCCACUCCGACCUCCUCUGCUCCUGUCAUGGUGGUGACAAAGAUGGCCGUCCCUGGAGGUCAGGUGACCAAGACCGUUCUAAACCCAGGAGUCCAGAUGAGUCCGAGUCCCGCUCCGGCCCGGACUGUGGUGAUUGCUGUCCCCAGAGCGGCUGCUCCCUCUCAACCAGUGACCGUAGCCCCCAGGCCGCCCCAGACAACCACCACUCGGCUGCCGGCAAACUUCCAAAUCCCAGCAGGUAUGAUGCUGAUCCGCAGUGACAGUGGGCAGUUGAUGCUGGUGUCGCAGCAAGCUCUGGCUCAGGCUCAAAAACAAGCUGCAAGAACCAGC